RNAcentral lists this ribosomal RNA (253 nucleotides) under uncultured bacterium. RNAcentral's name for it is "partial 16S ribosomal RNA". It matches the Rfam family "Bacterial small subunit ribosomal RNA", at positions 524 to 776 of the family's 1533-position model. The record is from RNAcentral.
UACGUAGGGACCGAGCGUUGUCCGGAUUCAUUGGGCGUAAAGAGCUCGUAGGCGGCCACUCAAGUCGAAUGUGAAACCUCGAGGCUUAACCUCGAGCCUGCAUUCGAUACUGGGCGGCUAGAGUCUGGUAGGGGGAUCUGGAAUUCCUGGUGUAGCGGUGGAAUGCGCAGAUAUCAGGAAGAACACCUAUGGCGAAAGCAGCUCUCUGGGACGGUACUGACGCUGAGACGCGAAAGCGUGGGGAGCGAACAGG